UAGGAAUUGGCGGGGGAGCACCACAAGGGGUGAAGCCUGCGGUUCAAUUGGAGUCAACGCCAGAAAUCUUACCCGGAGAGACAGCAGAAUGAAGGUCAAGCUGAAGACUUUACCAGACAAGCUGAGAGGUGGUGCAUGGCCGUCGCCAGCUCGUGCCGUGAGAUGUCCUGUUAAGUCAGGUAACGAGCGAGAUCCCUGCCUCUAGUUGCCACCAUUACUCUCAGGAGUAGUGGGGCGAAUUAGCGGGACCGCCGCAGUUAAUGCGGAGGAAGGAAGGGGCCACGGCAGGUCAGUAUGCCCCGAAACUCUGGGGCCACACGCGGGCUGCAAUGGUAAUGACAAUGGGUUCCAAAUCCGAAAGGAGGAGGUAAUCCCCAAACAUUACCACAGUUAUGACUGAGGGCUGCAACUCGCCCUCACGAAUAUGGAAUCCCUAGUAACUGCGUGUCAUUAUCGCGCGGUGAAUACGUCCCUGCUCCUUGCACACACCGCCCGUCGUUUCAUUGAAGUGAGCUUUUAGCGAGGUGACGUCUGAUUG
Molecule: ribosomal RNA, 538 nt
Filed under: uncultured archaeon
Lineage: Archaea
Description: bacterial SSU rRNA
Rfam family: Archaeal small subunit ribosomal RNA
Source: RNAcentral